This 253-nucleotide ribosomal RNA is filed under the name uncultured bacterium. RNAcentral's name for it is "partial 16S ribosomal RNA". It matches the Rfam family "Bacterial small subunit ribosomal RNA", at positions 524 to 776 of the family's 1533-position model. The record is from RNAcentral.
UACGAAGGGGGCUAGCGUUGCUCGGAAUCACUGGGCGUAAAGGGCGCGUAGGUGGCGUUUUAAGUCGGGGGUGAAAGCCUGUGGCUCAACCACAGAAUGGCCUUCGAUACUGGGACGCUUGAGUAUGGUAGAGGUUGGUGGAACUGCGAGUGUAGAGGUGAAAUUCGUAGAUAUUCGCAAGAACACCGGUGGCGAAGGCGGCCAACUGGACCAUUACUGACGCUGAGGCGCGAAAGCGUGGGGAGCAAACAGG